RNAcentral lists this ribosomal RNA (328 nucleotides) under uncultured eukaryote. RNAcentral describes it as "partial 18S ribosomal RNA". It matches the Rfam family "Eukaryotic small subunit ribosomal RNA", at positions 1470 to 1796 of the family's 1831-position model. The record is from RNAcentral.
CCCUUAGAUUUCCUGGGCCGCACGCGCGUUACACUGAUGCAUUCAACGAGCUUAUAACCUUGGCCGAGAGGCCUGGGCAAUCUUGUUAACGUGCAUCGUGAUAGGGAUAGAUUAUUGAAAUUAUUAAUCUUGAACGAGGAAUUCCUAGUAAACGCAGAUCAUCAAUCUGCAUUGAUUACGUCCCUGCCCUUUGUACACACCGCCCGUCGCACCUACCGAUUGGAUGGUCCGGUGAAGCCUCGGGAUUGUGGUUCUUGCCGCUUUAUUGUGGCGUGACCGCGAGAACUUGUCUAAACCUUAUCAUCUAGAGGAAGGUGAAGUCGUAACA